GUAGGAGUGAGCCUGCUCGCGAUGGCGGCGGGUCAGUCAGCGAUACGUUGUCUGGUAUGACGCUAUCGCGAGCAGGCUCACUCCUAC
RNAcentral lists this unclassified non-coding RNA (87 nucleotides) under Pseudomonas sp. B10. The record is from RNAcentral. Lineage: Bacteria; Pseudomonadati; Pseudomonadota; Gammaproteobacteria; Pseudomonadales; Pseudomonadaceae.